Molecule: long non-coding RNA, 1249 nt
Organism: Scylla paramamosain (green mud crab)
Lineage: Eukaryota; Metazoa; Arthropoda; Malacostraca; Decapoda; Portunidae
Exons: 4
Source: RefSeq, a predicted model, not a curated record
UACUAACAGUUUCCGAGCUCUAUGCAAUCAGCAGCUAUUACUAAAAAGAAUAAAGUAAAUAAAGAACUGUAGGGGAGGAGUCACUGUACACAAAUGAGCGCCUAUAAAGUAGCAGAUGAUAAAAAGAAAAAUGAUCCGACAGUGAAAGGAUUAAGCAUUUAGGAGGCGCAGGUGCGAGGCGUUUACUAUAUAUAACACCUCGACUUUCCCAUGACUCGGUGACAAAGAGGAGCAGUCAGGCGGGUGGGCUGAAGGCGGCCACAGCCACAGCUGACCACUUCGCCGCACCCUCCGCCUCAUUCCAGGCAGUGCAAUGCUUGGAGGUGGCUGUGGAGCAAGAAGGAAUGUGUCAGUGUGUUUAGUCAAGAAGGGGGAUCAUCAACAACAGCAGAGCAAGUUUUAAUGAAGCGGCUCAUCAUCAACACUGCCUACCUGUAAAAUGCUUUGAUGUCUACAUAUUGGUAUUUGUUAAUCACCUCGCCUGCCUGUCUCCCCCUCUGGUAUCAUGGCCCUGGAGAGUCUCACGUCUUCCCUCCAUGCCAGCGCCACACGCCAGCAGGCGUCAGAUUUUCAACAAUCCACUGCUAGUGGGCGAAGCUGCAACCUCUACUGCACCAAGAAAACCAGCAAUGUCCCAGUGUGCAUCUUCUACGGAUACAAAUGUGACACCACGUGAUACUUCUACGCCCUGUACUUCCAAGCGAUCAGCCAAAAGGACACAUGACGAUGCAGAUGACGUAAUUAGGGAAGCCCUCCAGCAAAUGAGGGAAUUGUCGUCUACACAAGACACUGCCGAUGAGUUCACUGAUUUUGCAAAAGUAAUUGCAAAUGACUUGCGACAACUGACGGGUGAAACCCAAAUUGUGGCACAAAAAUUAAUAUAUGACGUUAUAUUUCUUGCUAAACUUGGUAAACUUUCAACUUCCUCAAUGAUUAGACAGUAAUUCAUAAUCUAGAUGGGUUUACACAUAGUGCAUUUUUUUAUUUUGAGUUUGGAUUGUGUUCCAGCCCCCUAAAAAUAAAUGGAAAUUGUAAAGUGUGAACACACACACACACACACGUAUGUAUACAUAUAUAUGCGGGAGCAGACACACAUGUAUCCAUAUACAUAUAUGCUAAAGUAUAUAUGUAAUGGAUAGAAAUAGCACUAUUAUUUCAUAUAAACACAGCUGGGCCUUUAUUACACAUAACAUAAGCAUACAUAAUGGACGACAAUACACUAUGUACUAAGCUCAAUAAAGUUGUUUGC